GAUGAACGCUGGCGGCGUGCCUAAUACAUGCAAGUCGAGCGAACAGACGAGGAGCUUGCUCCUCUGACGUUAGCGGCGGACGGGUGAGUAACACGUGGAUAACCUACCUAUAAGACUGGGAUAACUUCGGGAAACCGGAGCUAAUACCGGAUAAUAUAUUGAACCGCAUGGUUCAAUAGUGAAAGACGGUUUUGCUGUCACUUAUAGAUGGAUCCGCGCCGCAUUAGCUAGUUGGUAAGGUAACGGCUUACCAAGGCAACGAUGCGUAGCCGACCUGAGAGGGUGAUCGGCCACACUGGAACUGAGACACGGUCAAGACUCCUACGGGAGGCAGCAGUAGGGAAUCUUCCGCAAUGGGCGAAAGCCUGACGGAGCAACGCCGCGUGAGUGAUAAAGGUCUUCGGAUCGUAAAACUCUGUUAUUAGGGAAGAACAAAUGUGUAAGUAACUAUGCACGUCUUGACGGUACCUAAUCAGAAAGCCACGGCUAACUACGUG
This 497-nucleotide ribosomal RNA is filed under the name uncultured bacterium. RNAcentral's name for it is "partial 16S ribosomal RNA". It matches the Rfam family "Bacterial small subunit ribosomal RNA", at positions 28 to 507 of the family's 1533-position model. The record is from RNAcentral.